This 519-nucleotide ribosomal RNA is filed under the name uncultured Helotiales. RNAcentral's name for it is "eukaryotic LSU rRNA". The stretch from base 172 to 325 matches the Rfam family "5.8S ribosomal RNA". The record is from RNAcentral. Lineage: Eukaryota; Fungi; Ascomycota; Leotiomycetes; Helotiales.
UACAGAGUUCAUGCCCUCACGGGUAGAUCUCCCACCCUAUGUUAUUGUUACCUUUGUUGCUUUGGCGGGCCGUCAGGCCUCGGUCAGGCUACCGGCUUCAGCUGGUAAGCGCCCGCCAGAGGACCCCAAACUCUGAAUAUUAGUGUCGUCUGAGUACUAUAUAAUAGUUAAAACUUUCAACAACGGAUCUCUUGGUUCUGGCAUCGAUGAAGAACGCAGCGAAAUGCGAUAAGUAAUGUGAAUUGCAGAAUUCAGUGAAUCAUCGAAUCUUUGAACGCACAUUGCGCCCCUUGGUAUUCCGGGGGGCAUGCCUGUUCGAGCGUCAUUACAACCCUCAAGCCUGGCUUGGUAUUGGGCUUCGCCGUUUUGGCGGGCCUUAAAAUCAGUAACAGUGUCGUUGGGGCCCUGAGCGUAGUACAUAUCCUCGCUAUAGGGAUUUCCACGGCCAUUAACCCUCACUUUCUAAGUUUGACCUCGGAUCAGGUAGGGAUACCCGCUGAACUUAAGCAUAUCAAUAAG